GAUGAACGCUGGCGGCGUGCCUAAUACAUGCAAGUCGAGCGAACGGACGAGAAGCUUGCUUCUCUGAUGUUAGCGGCGGACGGGUGAGUAACACGUGGAUAACCUACCUAUAAGACUGGGAUAACUUCGGGAAACCGGAGCUAAUACCGGAUAAUAUUUUGAACCGCAUGGUUCAAAAGUAAAAGACGGUCUUGCUGUCACUUAUAGAUGGAUCCGCGCUGCAUUAGCUAGUUGGUAAGGUAACGGCUUACCAAGGCAACGAUGCAUAGCCGACCUGAGAGGGUGAUCGGCCACACUGGAACUGAGACACGGUCCAGACUACUACGGGAGGCAGCAGUAGGGAAUCUUCCGCAAUGGGCGAAAGCCUGACGGAGCAACGCCGCGUGAGUGAUGAAGGUCUUCGGAUCGUAAAACUCUGUUAUUAGGGAAGAACAUAUGUGUAAGUAACUGUGCACAUCUUGACGGUACCCAAUCAGAAAGCCACGGCUAACUACGUG
RNAcentral lists this ribosomal RNA (497 nucleotides) under uncultured bacterium. RNAcentral's name for it is "partial 16S ribosomal RNA". It matches the Rfam family "Bacterial small subunit ribosomal RNA", at positions 28 to 507 of the family's 1533-position model. The record is from RNAcentral.